Molecule: long non-coding RNA, 227 nt
Organism: Dendroctonus ponderosae (mountain pine beetle)
Lineage: Eukaryota; Metazoa; Arthropoda; Insecta; Coleoptera; Curculionidae
Exons: 2
Source: RefSeq, a predicted model, not a curated record
CAAUAUUUAUCAACUUCAUCGUUUUUAAACUGCCUGUUGCCCUGCCCUGUGAGCUGGGAUAUCUUUUCGCAAGUACCAUCUAUAAAAAUAUGGAAUCUCGAUCGACCACCAGACAAAUUGGCGACAGUUAACACAACAGCAACAAACCUUGUUUUACCUGUUGUAAAUUUAUGAUGUUUGAAAGUAGAUAAUGUUUGUCAUAACAAGUAAUAUAAACUAACGAGCGA